This is a long non-coding RNA of Chelonia mydas (Green sea turtle), 551 nucleotides long. RefSeq lists it as uncharacterized. The transcript is spliced from 3 exons. The record is from RefSeq and is a predicted model, not a curated record. Lineage: Eukaryota; Metazoa; Chordata; Testudines; Cheloniidae.
CAAAACCUUAAAUUAAUGAAGACUUGGCAUGCCACUUUUCAAAGGUUGCCAACCCCUGAGCUAUAUCAUACACAUGAAUCAAACUAUCUUGUUAGUUACAUUGUAUUUAAAGAGAACAAACGAGGUCAUGUGGAAAUGGCAGGCAAGGAAGAGGUAACAUGAUCAAGGGAGUAGAAAAAAGGAAGGAAGGUGAAGAGGAACACUUAGAGGAAGGGUGUGAAAGCAGGUAGGGAGAGGAAGGAGUAGAUAGGGUAAGAAGGAUGAAGAGAAGCAUGGAGGGCAGCGUGAAUGAGGGAGGCAGAUGAAAGACUAUAAGGGGAGGAGAGGUAAAUGACUACAUAAGGUGCAGCUUCAACCAGAACAUACCCAAGACUUUGUCUCUCUAACAACUUCCAGAAGAGUUUGUAACCAGUCAUGGCAAGGUAGAGAACAGGAGAGACUGAAGUGCCAUCAAUGCCUGAGGCCCCUACCACGGCAAGUAUACCAGUUAUCCUUCUGAUGAAUCUAGCCAUGCAGUGCCAUGACUGCACAUUGCCCCACAAUCUCUAAAU